This is a non-coding RNA of Aegilops tauschii subsp. strangulata, 2055 nucleotides long. The record is from RefSeq and is a predicted model, not a curated record. Lineage: Eukaryota; Viridiplantae; Streptophyta; Magnoliopsida; Poales; Poaceae.
GUCCACUUGCCGUUAGCGGAUGUGACGCCCGCCCGUUCGUGGCACAGUACUGCUGUCAAGAUCCUUCCGAUGCAGCCCGUGAGCUAGACCCACCAGUCAGCAGUGGGACACUUGAAUGCACCCCCCGGCCAGCAGGGGGUCGGUCCAUUUGUUGAGUAGAAGGGGAUCCAAGGACGAGCAGAGCAGUGGGCGGCGGCGGAUCGGCGGUGGUGCAGCCAUGGCGAUGGAUUUUCCAGUAUCUCCGGUGGGCAGGUUGCCCAUCUUCUCGGGUGAGGUAGGAGCUCACAUGGGCACUAUGCUAGUAUGUUCAGAGAAGAAGCAAGUGUUGAUGUCGGCUGCGGCGGGAUAUCCUUCGUCAGCGAGAGUGAAGGUGAUAAUGCUGAUGCCAUUGGACAUGGGGGUGUUUAAUCGCAUCUCGAUGGUCACCAGGAAGCUGUUAUCGGAGGUAGAACAUGAAUUGCAGAUGUAGGGUCUGCUCAGUCUACUGGCAAGGUUGAUCCUCAGGCCCCGGAUGGUCGAAGAGGUUAAGGGUUGGGAAUCAGCCUCCAGAUAGGGCUCCAUGUCCAUUCAUGCUGUAGGUUAAGGGUUGGGAAUCAGCCUCCAGAUAGGGCUCCAUGUCCUGAUAGAGUCGGAGCGCUUGAACAAACUAUUAGGGGCUAUGCAAAAACACUUGUUGACCAUGUGGUUGAGCCUGCUAUUGGUUUGACAUUUGACUCAUUGGGCAAGGCAUGUGAUUUUUACAACUUGUACCCUUGGGAGCAUGGAUUUGGCGUAAGGUACGGCAAAAGAAGACUUAACUCUGAGAAGACAAAGUGCAUGCAGGAAAUGGUGUGCGGAUGCUCUGUAAGUUCUUCGUUGUAAAGUUAUCGAAGAUUAUCAUGAGUAAAAUACUGAAAGGUAUGAAGAAGUGUUGAUGAUCUGUGAUAGCGAAGGGGACAACGCAGCGCUGGUGGGAGGCCAGGGUGCUGUAACUGAAGAUCGUUCUGAAAGUGGAGAUGCAGCAUCGGUGUCGUCUACUAGCAAAAUCGACCCGCAAGCCCCAGUUUGGACUAAAAAGGUUUAGUCAUUGACCUUGAAGGUUCUGCUGGUCAUGUGGACACUGGUGAGGUGCCAGGACACAUGGACCAGGCUGUCGGUGAUGUGGAUACUGCAAAUGCUUCAUCCAGUGCCUCUUGAGAUGAGUCUAUGGGGCAUUUGCCUGCUGUGAUGCAUGACAACAUCAUAACACUAGUUCCAUAUGGAGACAUUGAUGAAGAGGUUUCCCUGCCUGACGAUGAUGUUGCCUUCUGCCUGCAGUCAAUGUUUGCAGAACCAGGUUAGUGUAUGAAGAUCAUAAACAUGUUGCUGGUGAGAGUACAUUCAAGGACUACACGGUGCAGCUUAUGGGCACACAGAUCCAGACAUACUUUGAUUGAAACAGUGAUCCAAAGGUUGACCACAUAGUGGCAAUGUGGUGGCUGCUGAGGAAAGAGGAGGCAAAACUGUUUGCUGGUUUACCUGGACACUUUAGGGUGAUACCAGACUUGAGAUUUAGUGUUGAGUUCAUGGAAGCAGAGAGAUCAUUACACCUAGAGUUCGACUAGAUUGCAACAAUGAUAACCGAGGAACGCACUGGUGUGAGGAUUGAAGCUUGGAAAAAGACCACUCUGCUGCUGAAGUACCAGGAUAUCUGGGCAGUCUAUGCAAUUGACUUUGAGAAGAAGACAUGCCGCGUCAUGAAGUUGAAGCUAGGUAGGGAGAGAAGGUUGAAGAUGAAAGUGCACGGCAUCAUUUUAUUUUGGGGGAGGCAUUCUUCAGGAGACAGAACAAUGAGCUGGACUAUUCCUCCCACCCGAGUGAUUUGUGGUUCUGUUUCCCUAUCAUAUUAUUGUAAGGAUCUAUGAUCUAUGCAUGAACCUACGUAUGUAGCUAGUGCACUAGGUUGACAGAACUUUAAUCGCCUAGUGCACAACAGUUAAAAAGACCAGCUAGUUUGUAUGCAGAACCAUUAAGUACUCCCUCGGGUGUCACCUAGUUGAACCACGGCAAAUUGUUGGCAUAAUUUUAUCUACAUGA